This 568-nucleotide ribosomal RNA is filed under the name uncultured bacterium. RNAcentral's name for it is "partial 16S ribosomal RNA". It matches the Rfam family "Bacterial small subunit ribosomal RNA", at positions 355 to 908 of the family's 1533-position model. The record is from RNAcentral.
UGGGGAAUAUUGCACAAUGGGCGCAAGCCUGAUGCAGCCAUGCCGCGUGUGUGAAGAAGGCCUUCGGGUUGUAAAGCACUUUCAGCGAGGAGGAAGGUGGUGAGCUUAAUACGCUCAUCAAUUGACGUUACUCGCAGAAGAAGCACCGGCUAACUCCGUGCCAGCAGCCGCGGUAAUACGGAGGGUGCAAGCGUUAAUCGGAAUUACUGGGCGUAAAGCGCACGCAGGCGGUUUGUUAAGUCAGAUGUGAAAUCCCCGGGCUCAACCUGGGAACUGCAUUUGAAAACUGGCAAGCUAGAGUCUCGUAGAGGGGGGUAGAAUUCCAGGUGUAGCGGUGAAAAUGCGUAGAGAUCUGGAGGAAUACCGGUGGCGAAGGCGGCCCCCUGGACGAAGACUGACGCUCAGGUGCGAAAAGCGUGGGGAGCAAAACAGGAUUAGAUACCCUGGUAGUCCACGCUGUAAAACGAUGUCGAUUUUGGAGGUUGUGCCCUUGAGGCGUGGCUUCCGGAGCUAACGCGUUAAAUCGACCGCCUGGGGAGUACGGCCGCAAGGUUAAAAACUCAAAAUG